RNAcentral lists this ribosomal RNA (896 nucleotides) under uncultured bacterium. RNAcentral's name for it is "bacterial SSU rRNA". It matches the Rfam family "Bacterial small subunit ribosomal RNA", at positions 505 to 1402 of the family's 1533-position model. The record is from RNAcentral.
GUAUCAGCNGCCGCGGUAAUACNUNNGGNGCAAGCGUUAAUCGGAAUUACUGGGCGUAAAGCGUGCGCAGGCGGNUUUGUAAGUCUGUCGUGAAAUCCCCGGGCUCAACCUGGGAAUUGCGAUGGAGACUGCAAGGCUAGAAUCUGGCAGAGGGGGGUAGAAUUCCACGNGUAGCAGUGAAAUGCGUAGAGAUGUGGAGGAACACCGAUGGCGAANGCAGCCCCCUGGGNCAAGAUUGACGCUCAUGCACGAAAGCGUGGGGAGCAAACAGGAUUANAUACCCUGGUAGUCCACGCCCUAAACGAUGUCUACUAGUUGUCGGGUUUUAAUUAACUUGGUAACGCAGCUAACGCGUGAAGUAGACCGCCUGGGGAGUACGGUCGCAAGAUUAAAACUCAAAGGAAUUGACGGGGACCCGCACAAGCGGUGGAUGAUGUGGAUUAAUUCGAUGCAACGCGAAAAACCUUACCUACCCUUGACAUGUACGGAAGCCACGAGAGAUCGAGGUGUGCUCGAAAGAGAGCCGUAACACAGGUGCUGCAUGGCUGUCGUCAGCUCGUGUCGUGAGAUGUUGGGUUAAGUCCCGCAACGAGCGCAACCCUUGUCAUUAGUUGCUACAUUCAGUUGAGCACUCUAAUGAGACUGCCGGUGACAAACCGGAGGAAGGUGGGGAUGACGUCAAGUCCUCAUGGCCCUUAUGGGUAGGGCUUCACACGUCAUACAAUGGUACAUACAGAGGGCCGCCAACCCGCGAGGGGGAGCUAAUCCCAGAAAGUGUAUCGUAGUCCGGAUCGCAGUCUGCAACUCGACUGCGUGAAGUUGGAAUCGCUAGUAAUCGCGGAUCAGCAUGUCGCGGUGAAUACGUUCCCGGGUCUUGUACACACCGCCCGUCAAAC